GUGGCGGGGAGGGGCCGCGCGCUCCCGGCUCACCACGUGUGAGCCAGUUCGGGCACCACGGGGCGUGUGCCGCCCCUGGGGGAGGUCACCUUCACGGCGUCACGAGCAUGGGCGAUGGGAGGGGGCGCUGAGGCCUCGCCCUUGGGAAGCAGGAGCUGGGAGGUGUCCGGAUUAGGAUCUUUAAGGUGGCAUUCCGCUGGGGCGUAGCGGGCAUAGUUUGGGGCUGGGAGAAUGCGCCUCUGGCGGUACAGCUCACCCACUUCUGGACGAGCGAAGGCCAAGAGCCGAGCCUGAGGGUGUGGGGCCAGGAGAAAGUACCGAGAAGCUGAGAUCUGGAAAACCCUACGUGUAAAACCUUUACAUCUGCAGCCUGAGCAGUCUACCCGAUGGAGUCACGCUUCCUGUGUUCACAUUCCCAGUCCCUCCUUUUCCUUAUCCUGAAAAUGGGGAUAAUGCAGUUUCUCCCUCACAUGGUUGUUUUACAGAUUAAAUGAGAUAAUGCAUGUAAACACAUCCUGAUACCUAGUGAAUGUUCAAUAAAACUUACGAUAGACGGGA
Macaca mulatta (Rhesus monkey) is the source of this 558-nucleotide non-coding RNA. The record is from RefSeq and is a predicted model, not a curated record. NCBI's taxonomy places the organism in Eukaryota, Metazoa, Chordata, Mammalia, Primates, Cercopithecidae.